CUCAGUAACGUAGCUAACGCGUGAAGUUGACCGCCUGGGGGAGUACGGUCGCAAGAUUAAAACUCAAAGGAAUUGACGGGGACCCGCACAAGCGGUGGAUGAUGUGGAUUAAUUCGAUGCAACGCGAAAAACCUUACCUACCCUUGACAUGCCACUAACGAAGCAGAGAUGCAUUAGGUGCCCGAAAGGGAAAGUGGACACAGGUGCUGCAUGGCUGUCGUCAGCUCGUGUCGUGAGAUGUUGGGUUAAGUCCCGCAACGAGCGCAACCCUUGUCUCUAGUUGCUACGCAAGAGCACUCUAGAGAGACUGCCGGUGACAAACCGGAGGAAGGUGGGGAUGACGUCAAGUCCUCAUGGCCCUUAUGGGUAGGGCUUCACACGUCAUACAAUGGUGCGUACAGAGGGUUGCCAACCCGCGAGGGGGAGCUAAUCCCAGAAAACGCAUCGUAGUCCGGAUCGUAGUCUGCAACUCGACUACGUGAAGCUGGAAUCGCUAGUAAUCGCGGAUCAGCAUGCCGCGGUGAA
This 525-nucleotide ribosomal RNA is filed under the name uncultured bacterium. RNAcentral's name for it is "bacterial SSU rRNA". It matches the Rfam family "Bacterial small subunit ribosomal RNA", at positions 839 to 1366 of the family's 1533-position model. The record is from RNAcentral.